Molecule: long non-coding RNA, 269 nt
Filed under: Hordeum vulgare
Lineage: Eukaryota; Viridiplantae; Streptophyta; Magnoliopsida; Poales; Poaceae
Description: long non-coding RNA (HVUL_LNC001665)
Source: RNAcentral
UUAUUUUCUUUUUUUUAUAUCCAUUGGGUUACCAUGGACACACUUUCAGACCCAUGUCCUAUCCAUAUAUUUUGUGCGUAUGGAUACGUAUUACCCAAGGGUACAAAGUCUCGCCAAGUCUUACCCAUGGCCACUAUUUUUUGAUAGGGUACGUGCGGGUACCCAUACCCAUGGGCAAAUUUGCCAUCCCUACUCCCAUUAUCCCAAGUUACGACAAGUAUCACAUUGCAUGUGCGUUAUUUGUCGCAGCCUGAGAGUUCUGUUUUUUC